UCCAUGGUAACCACUCAUGACAUCACAAACACAAUGUGAUAGCAGAAGAAAUAAGAGCUCCUGAGACCUUGUUGGAUACAAAUGCCCUGUACGACCUAAGGGCCUCCACGGCAGGAACAAAAGGAAUUUUGUCUUGAGACCUUUGCAGAAAAGUAAUUUUUGAAAUCUAUUCUUGGAUUUUGACAUUUAUUGGAUUUCAAAGCUUCUUGUUGCCCUGUGAAUAUGGUCAAAGGUCCAUGAAAUUUCCAAAGUGGUACCACAGCAGAUGAACCUGAAUAUAAACUGGAGGGACCAACAGAGUCCAGCCUACAGACAUAAAUCCUUAACUACACCUAGACCUCACUGUCCUUUCUGGUGGUCAAAGGAGGGGGCUCUUGAAAUGGCUCCAUUGCUUUAUAGAAAACAAGGAAAUCAAGCUGCAAGGAUAUGACUGGGUCUAUUAAAAUUGAAGGUCAAGGAUGAAAACAACAAGGGGAUCUGAGGCUUUCCUCAACUUUCUCUCCAGGGUCACCAACAUCUCUAACAGAAUCCAGCUGUGGAAUAGAAAAAAUAUUUCAUCUAAGAAGUGUAUCCUAGUUGUCAAAUGAAAAAUCACUGUUGAAUGCUGUAAAGUACAUUUUUACACCCAUGUAAAACUUACAGCUUGGGAACUCAUGGAAAAAUUACAUCCAACAUGGAUAAAGGGAUUUUAAAAGUUGGUCUCCAGAGUCGAUGUUCCUACAACUGUUGCAUCAGUUUCCUCACGAUUCUGAAACAUUUGGGUUUGAAACGCAAGCGAGAAAAUAAAACUCGCGCUCUCCAAAGACUACAGUGGCCGGGGGAAAGCCAGUGGACUUCAGGGACUACUUGAAAGGAAUAUCAGUAUAGUUCAUUUCUUUUACCUGAAAUGAUUCUAGGUAAAAGUCCUAUGGGAUAGGUGACUGGUUGAAAAUGUAUCUCUCACUGAGUUGUCCUUUUUUAGUUUUAUAG
This is a non-coding RNA of Callithrix jacchus (white-tufted-ear marmoset), 969 nucleotides long. The record is from RefSeq and is a predicted model, not a curated record. Lineage: Eukaryota; Metazoa; Chordata; Mammalia; Primates; Cebidae.